GAUCUCCUGGCUCCUGCUCUCCAAAUGAACUCAAGUUCUGCUCAGCCAGGUACCACAGUUGUGCUCCAGUGUAUUCUCCCUGUGGUGUCACAUGCAAGACAAAUCAUUUUCUGCAAGGAUGGGAAGGAGGUGUACAGUCUGAAAGCCCAGCAAGGGCAGCUGAGCUAUGCUGUGGUCCUGAACAUCACAUCAAGAAGUGCAGGAAGAUAUACUUGCGGGUACCAGCAGAGGAAUGAGAUGAAACAGAGGAGGAGCUCUGCCCUCAGUGCUGGCCGCAUCCUGAAUGUCCCUGGCAAUGUGGUGAGUUCCCCAGCAAGUCCAUCAACCACAGGUGAGUGAUUCCCUCCUGCACCUCCUGUACCCCCAGGUGAGUGAUUCCCUCCUGCACCCCCAGGACCUCCAGGUCCCUGCAGCACCACCUCUGCUGCAGACAUGGGGCUGUGCAGGGCCGAUGCACAGAGAAGAAGGGCUGGGGAUGUGGAUGGAUGCUGGGUUGAGCCAGGGGAGCUCCAAGGUCUGCCCUGUACAUUGAUGAGCCUAUGGCAGGGCAAGUAGAGUAAUUGUCAUGAGCUGAGAGCGUAAGGUACGUGUGAGCAAGGGGACAAUAUUUCUGGCACUAAAACUGUGGCUGGAGCCAUAUUGUGAAAGGAGAGAUAUUGGAAUGCUCAGGGAUCCAGAGACCUCUCCCUGGAAAAACAAACCAACCAAAAAAUGGUAGGGAUGGACACAGGGCAGAACACCUCUGCUGCAGACUUGAGGUGUUGCAGGGCCCAUGCAUAAAAAACAUGGGCUCGGGAUGUUGAUGGACUACGGGCUGUGUCACUACUGCUCCAAGUUUUCCCUCUAAACUUUAUGAACCUAUGAAAAUAAAGUUACACAAGCUUGGUUGUUCAUUUUGGCCAUUUGCUCCAGGAAGCAAUACAAGAGAUCAGGGUCUGCUCAGCAUCUUGGAUUGCCCAUAACUCAGAGGUCAAGGGACUCACAGAGUGUACAUGUCUCCCACAGGUAGCAGCCCCUCACACAAGGCCCAGCUCCCUUCCAGAGGCUCAGCCAUGCCCCUGGAGGUCUGGAUCCUGCGCUCUGCCCUCAGCCUGCUCCUGCUGCUGUCUGCCCCCAUCAUCACCCUCCUCCUGGAGAGAUGCAGCCACAGUGCCAACGAGGCCAGACAGCCUGGAGACGUCCCUGUCGCCAUGGUGCUCUGAUGUCCUCCUGGGAUACAUGCUGUCCCCAGCCUGCUCCCCCAUGCUCAGAGCAUGACCCACAACGUGGCCAGGCUCCCGCUUCCAUUGGGUUCAAGGCAGCUGGGGCAGCAUGCCCAAGGGAAAAGCGACUGCACUCUCCCCCAUCAAGGAUUGUCACUGCAUCGUGCACCCUUCUGGCUGUGUUCAACCCCAACACCCACGUGGCUUUGCCCCCUGUCCACAGAAUCACAUCUCCAUCGCGGGAUCCUCCUCUACAUACCAGAAUGGGUUGGUGUCACGGCUGCACCCCCAGGUAGCCAUGCUCUGCAGCUCCUGCAUCACUCCAGCACCUCCCUGUGCCCAACGUGCCGACCGCAAUGGGCACAUCCCCAGAUAGUUAUGGUGCCCUGUAUGGAGGCACCUUGAUGGGUAUUGGUCCUGUGGGAGGCGAGUUAUAAAGGAUUGGUUCAGAAUGCACCAGCUGAUGUUGCUGCUCUGUAUUUGAAGGGAAGACAGUGAGCAGAGAUGGGAGAGCUCCUCUUUGACUGCUGUGUGGGGCCAUGUGUCUUGCAAGGGAGCUCCUGUUCUCUGUGCCCUGCCACCCAGGAGUUCCCCUACCUGCUGACAUUGCCCUGGCAGAUGUGUCAUGGAAAACUGCCUGAGAUCUGAGAAUUGCUGACACCAUGUAGAGGUCCACGGGGUGGCCAUGCCUGGCACUCUGCACCUCAUGCCCACAAAUCCCUAUGCUGGAUCUUCUGUCUCUCAAUGCGCCAUCCCCAGGAGACAACCCUGAGCAGGGACAUUGUGCAUGGGGGCAUCCAGCUGUGGGGCAGGUGGGGACGGGGUCUCAGCAUGGCUGGCCCCCACACCCACAGACCAUCCCCAGCAUUGCACUAUGGAGUUUUAGCCAUCCCACACCAAUACCAAGAAGGAGCCAAGGUGUCCCUUCUCUGCAGCUCCCAGUGUUGACAUCUGGGGCCUUGGUGUGCAGUGGGGGACUCUGGGAUAAGAUGGGUUCAGGCAGGAGAGGAGCUGCUCAGCUGGGAGGCACGAGGAUGCAGGACUGCACGGAGGGAAUAUGGGAUAGGAAAAUGGGUUCAAAAUUCAGCAAGAGCUGCUUGGAGGCAGAGCUGGAGGGAAUGUGGGUUUCAGGCUCCUUCCUGCAAGCACAGUCCCUCACCUCCCAUGCCCUCAUCAAAGCACUUGUCCCACAGCUUCCUUCAGGCCCAUGCAUGCAUGCUUCACAGCACAAGCCUCCAGGAUACUCUUCCUCAAAGGGAAUAUACAGAUUUGAGUGGACGGAGCUACUCCCUCUUUCUCAUACAGCCUCCAACCCUCCCUGGUGAGCGAAUCGCACUGUGGUGUCAGCUGCAAACUUUCUGAGGGUAGCUCUUGUUCCUAACAGUUACAGCCUUUUUGCCUUCUUUGUGGUUGAUUUAGCACUGCUAUAGAUGUGACUGGAGUGUCCCUGUGAAUGGCCUAUGAGGACUGUUUUAUCAACACGUCAAGUGUCAAUAAAGAGCUAUUUGUAUUU
Anas platyrhynchos (mallard) is the source of this 2715-nucleotide non-coding RNA. Lineage: Eukaryota; Metazoa; Chordata; Aves; Anseriformes; Anatidae. The record is from RefSeq and is a predicted model, not a curated record.